Lacerta agilis (Sand lizard) is the source of this 1022-nucleotide long non-coding RNA. RefSeq lists it as uncharacterized. The record is from RefSeq and is a predicted model, not a curated record. Lineage: Eukaryota; Metazoa; Chordata; Lepidosauria; Squamata; Lacertidae. The transcript is spliced from 2 exons.
AGACCAGAAAGAAAAAACAGUUUUAGCCUGCAUGUUCUCCCAUGUGCCUUCUCCAACUAAGCAAAUAUUACUGAGCUUUGGAGGUGGAUCAAUCAAUAAUAGUACAACAUGGAUAAAAUGAAGCCUGAUUGUAUAAUUCAGGCUUUCAGAUAAGCCUCACCCUCCCCUGGCUGUGUUAAUAAUUUGCUAAAGUACAAACAGAUAUUAGACAUUACACACUUUCUCUUUGCACAAUUAAGGAGGUCUUCCCAGCCAACAGAUUCUAAAAAGGCAACUACAUACAGCUUCAGGGCCUGGCAACGAUGUCCACUUCAAUACAAACUGCUUCUCAAGACAUUCUAAAACAUCUGAAAACUCGGAUUCUGUCAGAUGACUGGGCUCUUGGGGGACUGGUAGUAAUAGCUUCAUUCGUCAUGGUUAUCAUUGCACUCCUGUUGUUUGCUGCCAUCUUUGGCUGUUGCUCAGCUCCAAGGAAUAAAUCUAGCCCCAUAUAAAACAGCAAGAGCAGCCUUGUCUGUGGAAUUUGAAGAAUGCUGAAGUGGGACCAAGCAGGGGAAAGUAUUGUUGCUUCUUGACCCCCCUGUUUCACAUGUACAAGUGAACAUACUACAGAGAAAAUUUGGCACUGUUCAAAGGCACACGAUCAGCUUCCACACGAGUCCUGACACCAAAUGAAAUCAGCAUUCAAGAAGCAUGUGCCUGAGCAGGUCUUAUUCACAACUAACUAUUUCUAGCAAAGGAAGUGACAAAAAUUGUUUAAGAAAUAGCUGUAAGAAUUUGAAAAUCCAAAGAAUGUUCAGUUUUCCUUGAACUUGUACAUUUGUCUUUCUUCUCUUGCAACCAGUAUAAGUAUAGUUAAACUAAAUGAGACUAAAUGAGCUGUAUUUUUUAAAUGCAUCCACAUGAAUCCCUUCCCCCAAUUCUUAUUUUAUUUCCAUAAUCUUCCAAAGGCAGCUGGCUGAUAGAGCUGAGCCAAAGGGUGGAGGAAUAAUGCCCAUCUCAUUAAAAUCUUCAAUAUAAUU